CAGUAGCCACGGUAAUACGGAGGGUGCAAGCGUUAUCCGGAUUUAUUGGGUUUAAAGGGUCCGUAGGCGGAUCUGUAAGUCAGUGGUGAAAUCUCACAGCUUAACUGUGAAACUGCCAUUGAUACUGCAGGUCUUGAGUAAAUUUGAAGUGGCUGGAAUAAGUAGUGUAGCGGUGAAAUGCAUAGAUAUUACUUAGAACACCAAUUGCGAAGGCAGGUCACUAAGAUUUAACUGACGCUGAUGGACGAAAGCGUGGGGAGCGAACAGGAUUAGAUACCCGGGUAGUCCCUGUCUCUUAUAC
Molecule: ribosomal RNA, 301 nt
Filed under: uncultured bacterium
Lineage: Bacteria
Description: partial 16S ribosomal RNA
Rfam family: Bacterial small subunit ribosomal RNA
Source: RNAcentral